Gossypium raimondii (Peruvian cotton) is the source of this 303-nucleotide RNA transcript. RefSeq lists it as uncharacterized. The record is from RefSeq and is a predicted model, not a curated record. NCBI's taxonomy places the organism in Eukaryota, Viridiplantae, Streptophyta, Magnoliopsida, Malvales, Malvaceae. The transcript is spliced from 2 exons.
UGGUGGUGACAAGGGAGGUGCCGCGGCAGAUUUCCAGCCAUCCUUCAUGGGUUCUUCUGGUGGAAGACCCUCUUUCGGUCGUGGUGGCAGAGGCUAUAGUGCAGCUCCAUCUGGUUCAGGUUUUGCUUGAAGACAAUAUGUCUUUUGGGUUGCUUGUUUUAAAGCAUAGUAUUCAAAAUCUUAGAAUUCUGAUUUAAUGCCUUAGCUUUGUAUAAUAUUAUGCUUGUUAUGAGAUCACAAUGUGUAGUUUUGUCUCGGCCAACAAAGUACUAUUAUUACCCCUAAUAUAGAACUAAAUUUAUG